Molecule: long non-coding RNA, 2716 nt
Organism: Pangasianodon hypophthalmus (striped catfish)
Lineage: Eukaryota; Metazoa; Chordata; Actinopteri; Siluriformes; Pangasiidae
Exons: 3
Source: RefSeq, a predicted model, not a curated record
AAGAGAAUUGAUUAGUUCAUCUCUCGAGUCUUUCGAGUCGUUCGUUCUUUUGUCACGUGAAAUGACAGCAUUGGAUAGAGAAAUCAGUUAAUUUACAACCUUCCUUACAAAUGCAUAGUAAUUAUUAUUAUUAUUAUUAUUACGUUAUAGUAUUAGAUAGACUUGUCAGAUAAGAGGUGAGGUGAGCUAAUCGUAGACUAAAGAUCCAGGAUCAUAUAAUCAUAUAAAUCAUAUUGAGCACCUGUGGGGCAUCCUCAAGAGGAAGGUGGAGAAGCGCCAUGUGCCUAACAUCCAGCAGCUCCGUGAUGUCAUUAUGGAGGAGUGGAAGAGGAUCCCAGCAACAAUCUGUGCAGCUCUGGUGAAUUCCAUGCCUAGGAGGAUUAAGGAAGUGAGGCAGAUCUCUUGGAGCGUCUCACUGUCUGGUAGCUCGUGUAGACACCUGCAUCAGUAAGUGUCAGAUACAGUGAUCUCAGCUUCUGCAGAGAGGAGGCCUGAGAUGGGAAAUUAAAUUCUAGAUUAAUCUGGACAGUGCACUUAUUUUAAGAUGCUCUUUACAAUCCAAGACUGCAGCCUGACCACAUAUCAUUUUACUGUACACAAUAAGAGACUGCAUACAAAACAUACAAAUAAUCACAACUCAUUACUGUGUGAGUGAAUGUGCAUGUGAAUGACACCAUCCUAGUUUGUUUAUCCACAGCAUGUUUUUAAAUAUAUAAUCAUAUCAUCAUCAUCAUCAUCAUCAUCACAUCAUGCAUUCUCUGCGCAUAGACACAUCCAGUGAUGUCAUGCAUCUGUAACUACAGUGUAUAACAGUUAAAGGUUUGGAUUGUGAUAUGGAAAGCAGUCAUGGGCUGCAGUUACAGACAGUGAAACUGCAGCAGUAAUCAGACGCAACAGGCGCAAACUCUGUGCACGAGCGCGGAACAUCACUGUAAGAAAUGUGCUCUGCCCAGCUUCCACUCCAGAGUAGGUGAGAGAACAAAGCCCCUUCCCAAAACGGCUUAAUUAACAUAGAGACAGUGCAUUUUGAUAUCAACAAUGUGUGAAUAGUGAAUAGUCUCUUCGUGCGCUUCACAGACAGGAAGCUGCAGAUGCUUUAACCGCAGCAGUAACCGCCAUCGUGUAUGGUGCAGCUCAUAGAAGCAUGAAGGCAGAAGAGCGACUGCAGAUAUCAGAAUGAUCCACAUCAUGUGAGAUUACUAGUGCUGAUGCAUGGAGUUAAUGUUAAAGAGCGACUGAAUAACGUGGCAUUCUCUCAGUUUCAGGGGUUUCAGUACCUCCAUGGAGAGAUGUGCGUUUCCGUUUGUUUUGAACAUACUUUUUUUUCCUUUUCUUUUUUUUUUUGCACAGGAUCAGGGAUGUAUGAUAAAGGAUAUGAGAAAGUCCUGUAAAUCGACGAACUUUGUGACCUUCACAACACUUCCUCAUUCUCAUAAAACCACCUGAGUCCUGAUGAAAGCCAUCAUCAAAUCUCACAUAAUCACAUCUCAUUUUAACUCUCAUCACAUCAUCACUUCUCACAUUUUAAUCAUUUCUAACCUGAACAGAUAAUCCUAAUAAUUCAGUGUUACAAUAUAAAUACCAUUGAGGCUUACCUUGGAAGAAGAAGGAGAGCGAGCACGUGCCCAGCCAUGCACAUGUUUCUCUGCAGUUCCUUUUUUUGUUCUUUGGGUUUUUUUUUGUUUUUUUUGGCCUGUGUGCAUACCGCCUCCUACUGUCUUCAGGUCAUGGUUUAUUAUUAUAAAAAAAAUAAAUAAAAAAAAAAACUUGCUCCAUGAGGGUUCAGCUCCUCCAUCCUCCACACACAAGCUCUCAGGCUCCGGAGUGGAGCAGAGCAUCACUACUUCAUUUUAAUAUAAAUCCUUGCAUUUAGUCUUGUACUAUUAUACUGAAUAUGUAUUGAAAAAGAAACUCAUAUCCCAGUAGAUAUUCCAAGUCCUUCUCCUUCUUACCCAUUUUAUUUAAAUAUGUUAUUAAGUCCUUUCUCUCUUCGCUGUACCUUUCACAAUCAUAUGUUGUGUUCUAUUGUUUUUUUCUCACAACAAUACUCACAUAAAUCACUAUCACCUUCUCCAGGUAAGAACAGUGAGGCAUUCAGUCCUGAGUGACCAAGUCUUAGCCUAGUUAUUAUGACCUCUUCCUUCCUAUUUCUACCACACAUAGUUCUUUUAGUAUCUACCAAAUUUUUAAUUUUAUAUCAAUGCCUUUCCUUAAUGUCCGUAUUCCAAAUUUCUUGCCGUUCUUUUGUAAUAUUUUUCUUAAUAAUACUCUUAGAUUCUCCUUUGCCUAAGGGCACAUUGAUGACCACUUCCUUCCUUUUUAAAGCUUUUUUUGUUAGCUCAUUCGCUGUUUUGUUUCCAGAUAUCCCUGCAUGUGCUGGUACCCAGUAAACCUUUUUACUACUCCUUUUCUUUGUAUACGCCAUAAUAACAAACAUCUCACUCAUCAAGUCUUCUCGAGAUGAUUGAUGGGUAGAUAGUGAUGUUAAGACAGAAGCAGAAUCAGAACAUAUCACCACUCUAUCUAUUUCCUCUACCCACAUCAAACCUACUAUGAUAGCGACCAUUUCAACAGCAUAUAUAGAUAACUCCAAUGUUAAUCUUUUAGUUAUAGUUGUAUCCAGAUCUGGGAUAUACAGUGGUCCUUUAAAGUUUGUGAACCCUCUAUAAUUUUCUAUAUAUCUGCAUAAAUAUGACCUAAAACGACAUCAGAUUUU